Molecule: ribosomal RNA, 485 nt
Filed under: uncultured bacterium
Lineage: Bacteria
Description: bacterial SSU rRNA
Rfam family: Bacterial small subunit ribosomal RNA
Source: RNAcentral
ACGACUACACUCCUACGGGAGGCAGCAGUGGGGAAUAUUGGACAAUGGGCGAAAGCCUGAUCCAGCCAUGCCGCGUGUGUGAAGAAGGUCUUCGGAUUGUAAAGCACUUUAAGUUGGGAGGAAGGGCAUUAACCUAAUACUCUGCAAUUUUGACGUUACCGACAGAAUAAGCACCGGCUAACUCUGUGCCAGCAGCCGCGGUAAUACAGAGGGUGCAAGCGUUAAUCGGAAUUACUGGGCGUAAAGCGCGCGUAGGUGGUUUGUUAAGUUGGAUGUGAAAUCCCCGGGCUCAACCUGGGAACUGCAUUCAAAACUGACUGACUAGAGUAUGGUAGAGGGUGGUGGAAUUUCCUGUGUAGCGGUGAAAUGCGUAGGUAUAGGAAGGAACACCAGUGGCGAAGGCGACCACCUGGACUAAUACUGACACUGAGGUGCGAAAGCGUGGGGAGCAAACAGGAUUAGAAACCCUUGUAGUCCACCAAUCC